UUUUCCUAUUUUCUAAUUUCUGAUUUUAUUUCUUUUAUUUCUUUUAUUUCUUUUAAUUCCAUUUCUUUUUAAAAAUUCAUAUCUCUCUCAUUAUUGGUCCAAAAAUUAUGGGACCAACUUCAUUCUUCUCUCAUUAGCAUUUGAUAUUUUUUAGUAAUUUUCUCUUUUCUGCUUAUUUUUAAUUCAUUUAAAAUAGUUUUUGAUAUUCAAAAAAUACAAAAAUA
Molecule: long non-coding RNA, 224 nt
Filed under: Lathyrus oleraceus (garden pea)
Lineage: Eukaryota; Viridiplantae; Streptophyta; Magnoliopsida; Fabales; Fabaceae
Description: Pisum sativum (pea) long non-coding RNA (PSAT_LNC021177)
Source: RNAcentral